GGCGGGUGCUUACCAUGCAGUCGAACGGUGAAGCCCAGCUUGCUGGGUGGAUCAGUGGCGAACGGGUGAGUAACACGUGAGCAAUCUGCCCCUGACUCUGGGAUAAGCGCUGGAAACGGCGUCUAAUACUGGAUACGAACCGUGGAGGCAUCUUCAACGGUUGGAAAGAUUUUUUGGUCAGGGAUGAGCUCGCGGCCUAUCAGCUUGUUGGUGAGGUAAUGGCUCACCAAGGCGUCGACGGGUAGCCGGCCUGAGAGGGUGACCGGCCACACUGGGACUGAGACACGGCCCAGACUCCUACGGGAGGCAGCAGUGGGGAAUAUUGCACAAUGGGCGAAAGCCUGAUGCAGCAACGCCGCGUGAGGGAUGACGGCCUUCGGGUUGUAAACCUCUUUUAGCAGGGAAGAAGCGAAAGUGACGGUACCUGCAGAAAAAGCGCCGGCUAACUACGUGCCAGCAGCCGCGGUAAUACGUAGGGCGCAAGCGUUAUCCGGAAUUAUUGGGCGUAAAGAGCUCGUAGGCGGUUUGUCGCGUCUGCUGUGAAAUCCCGAGGCUCAACUUCGGGUCUGCAGUGGGUACGGGCAGACUAGAGUGCGGUAGGGGAGAUUGGAAUUCCUGGUGUAGCGGUGGAAUGCGCAGAUAUCAGGAGGAACACCGAUGGCGAAGGCAGAUCUCUGGGCCGUAACUGACGCUGAGGAGCGAAAGGGUGGGGAGCAAACAGGCUUAGAUACCCUGGUAGUCCACCCCGUAAACGUUGGGAACUAGUUGUGGGGUCCAUUCCACGGAUUCCGUGACGCAGCUAACGCAUUAAGUUCCCCGCCUGGGGAGUACGGCCGCAAGGCUAAAACUCAAAGGAAUUGACGGGGACCCGCACAAGCGGCGGAGCAUGCGGAUUAAUUCGAUGCAACGCGAAGAACCUUACCAAGGCUUGACAUAUACGAGAACGCUGCAGAAAUGUAGAACUCUUUGGACACUCGUAAACAGGUGGUGCAUGGGUUGUCGUCAGCUCGUGUCGUGAGAUGUUGGGUUAAGUCCCGCAACGAGCGCAACCCUCGUUCUAUGUUGCCAGCACGUAAUGGUGGGAACUCAUGGGAUACUGCCGGGGUCAACUCGGAGGAAGGUGGGGAUGACGUCAAAUCAUCAUGCC
Molecule: ribosomal RNA, 1147 nt
Filed under: Microbacterium sp. 0609ALT28Z5-WH
Lineage: Bacteria; Bacillati; Actinomycetota; Actinomycetes; Micrococcales; Microbacteriaceae
Description: bacterial SSU rRNA
Rfam family: Bacterial small subunit ribosomal RNA
Source: RNAcentral